RNA transcript from Alosa sapidissima (American shad), 4247 nucleotides. It is a transcript of the gene named pikachurin-like, with no coding region annotated. Lineage: Eukaryota; Metazoa; Chordata; Actinopteri; Clupeiformes; Clupeidae. The record is from RefSeq and is a predicted model, not a curated record. The transcript has 25 exons.
CUCAAACCUUCAGGUAGCCUAAUUCAUUUGCGCAGUUUGUUCUGUAGGCUACAACUCUCUGUAGUUGGUCCCAUGGGAUUUCGGUGGUUAGCCUAUGUGAAAGAGGGACGAUUUAACAAACCCGUGACAAAUCGGCACAUCUCCUUGAGUAGUUGCAAAUCCGUUUAUUUUGCUCCCUCCCUUCAAGAGAGGGAAACAAGAGUCGAGGUGGGACGCGGCGGAGCCAAGACCAGCUAAACUCUCAACUCUCACUUCGCCGUGUUCUUCUCAGUCGCACUUUGACGUACGCCUGACAACACUAAGUCUUUUUCAUGUACGGAAAUUAAGUGAUGGCAGAUUUUUCACCGUGUAGAGCAUCUGUCAUCUUGGUGCUCCUGCAGAUAUUCGGAUAUACUUGUUCACUGAGGCGGACUGCAGACAGUGGUUUGGAGACUCUCAGUCCUCCUCUGGAUGUGGAGCUGGAAACACUGAACUGCACAGCAGUUGCUGUCAGGUGGAGGGUGCCACGGCGACACGUCACCGCUGUCAUGGGUUACCGGGUGUUCUUAACAGAGGUGAAUAACAGUCCAGUAGGAACGCCUAUUACACGGAAUGUCCCUGUCCGCAUUGACAUGUUGAAAGGGGUACCAUGGGAUGGACUUGCUGAAUUUAGCACCGAGGUGUCCAGUCUGAAGAACGAUAGCCAGUACCAUGUGACCAUUGCAGCCUAUGGGUGGGCAGGGGAGGGACGACCCAGUAUGCCUAGGGGCAUCACGCCAGCCUCGCAUGAGAGAUGCUUCAGACCAGCCCCCCCAUCAGCGCCGGAUGUGGUAGUAGGAUCUCAUACACAAAUUGUGGUGUCAUGGAAACCGGGUGCAUCAGAAGGAGCUUCGCCUGUUCAGCACUUCCUGGUUUCCUACACCAGACCAGAGGUGGACACGGAGUGGACAACUCUUCGCGUGCCCGUUCCGACCACCUCUAUGGUCCUGAGAGGACUGAGCCCAGACACACUGUACCAGUUCAUGGUCCAAGCAGUGAAUGCAAACGCCGCUAGUCCCCCAAGCUCUGUCAGUGGCAUCUGGACUCUCAGUAUUCAAGAUGCUGGCAGUGGAGCAAUCAGUACAAAGCGUCUCACGCGUCCCGUUACCAAUGACCAGGCUGCCGUCGUUGACUAUGACUACAGUGCCAACACUGAGGAGCUAUCUCCCAAGAAAGAGGUUCACAUGCCCUCCCAACCUGAAGCGCCAGCCUCUCAGAUUGGUGGUAACAUCUGGAGCUUUGCCCCCUUGGCUGCCGUCUCUGCCCCCUCUGAUGCCCCUUCUGGCGCCACCCUGGGUCCUCCUCUGCCCCCGGCCGCCCCCAUGACCCAGUGGCAGGGGGCGCUGAGGCGCCUGUACGACCUGCCCUGCGAGGACGCCGUGUGCCCCCCGCACACCAUCUGCGUGGACGACCAUACCAGCGGGGGCUCCCGAUGCCAGUGUGCCCUGGGCAGGCAAGGGCCAUCCUGCUCGGAGAUUGUGCUGAUGCAGUUCCCCAGGCUGUUUGGCUACUCCUACAUGGCCUUCGACCCCCUGAAGAAUUCCUUUCACUCCUUCCACAUCAGUCUGGAGUUUAAGGCAGACAGUGUAGAUGGCCUCCUGUUCUACUGUGGAGAGAAUGAACAUGGCUAUGGGGACUUCUCCUCUCUGGCUCUGAUCCGAGGGAAGCUGCACUUCAGGUAUAACUGUGGGACGGGGGCUGCUCAUCUGGUGAGCGAGAGGCCGGUGGUUCCUGGCCAGUGGCACAGCGUGAGCGUCCACCGGGAGGGCACGAGCGGCUGGCUCCGCCUGGAUAAUCACACGCCUGUCACCGGACACUCACAGGGAACAUACACCAAGAUCACCUUCCGCACGCCACUGUAUGUAGGCGGCUCUCCCAAUGGCUAUUGGCUGGCGAGGGCGGCUGGGACCAACCGAGGGUUCCAGGGUUGCCUGCAGAGCCUGUCGGUCAACGGAAAGCGGGUAGACAUGAGGCCCUGGCCGCUGGGGCGGGCACUCUCCGGGGCUGAUGUUGGCGAGUGCAGCGAGCAUGCCUGCUCCGGCGUGUCCUGUGCCAACGGGGGAACGUGCUUCAGCACUCGAGCAGAUGCCCACAUUUGCCUUUGCCCGCUGGGAUACGGAGGGGCACAGUGCCAGGAGAGCGUUUGGCUGGCCGUUCCACACUUCAACAAGUCACUGCUGUCGUACGCUAGCGCCCCCUGGCCUCAUCCCCAGCGCCACUACCUGUCCUUCACCGAGUUCGACAUCACCUUCCGGCCGGCGGCGGCCAACGGGACCCUGCUCUACUGUCAGGACGCCAACAGCAGUGACUUCCUGGCGGUCACCCUAGUGGGCGGUCAUGUGGAGUUCCUCUUCGACUGUGGCACAGGAGCUGCUGUUCUCAGGAGUGAGGAGGCGGUCAGCCUGUUCAGGUGGCACGAGGUGCGGGUAUCUCGCACGGCCAGGAAGGGCAUCUUGCAAGUGGACAGCCAGAAAGCAGUGGAGGGCCUGGCAGAGGGGGCAUUCACUCAGGUCCGCUGCAGCUCUCCUCUGUAUCUGGGUGGAGUCCCAGACUACGGUGCCACCCGGAGGGACUCUGGAGUACUGGAGCCUUUUACUGGGAGCAUACAGCAGGUCCUGCUGAAUGACCGGGUCAUCCCGCUCACAGCGUCCUCACUGGAGGGGGUGAACGUGGGGAAUGCGGAGCACCCCUGUGGCACGCGGCCAUGUGCCAACGCUGGACAGUGCCAGCCCAGAGAGGACCAGUACCAGUGCGACUGCCCGAUAGGCUUCCAUGGAAGCCAGUGCCAACAAGCGUGCGCCGACCUGUGCCGCCACAUAGUGACAGAAGACAUUGAGGUUCCUCUCUUCACUGGUAGAAGCUACCUCAAAUUUGACAGCAGAAAUAUUUUGAAACGGCUCUCUGGCUUGCGGACGCAUGUCCAGCUGCGCUUCAGAUGCUCUGCCCCCAACGGGCUGCUGCUGUGGAGAGGAGAGGGGCCUGGUCUCGCUGGAGCGGACUUCAUGUCUCUUGGCUUGCAGGGCGGAGCGAUCAUCUUCAGCUUUGAUCUUGGUAGUGGACUUGGUGUGGUGGUGGUCAAUGGAACUUUUAAUGAUGGUCAGUGGCACCAGUUGAAAGCCGUAAGAGAUGGGCAAUAUGGCCGGGUGGUUGUGGAUGGUCAGAGGACCAGCAGAGGACAGUCGCCAGGGAGAAUGAGGCAGCUCAACUCCAAUGGACCUCUGUAUAUAGGGGGUAUGAAGGAGAUCUCUCUGCACACUCACAGGCAGUACAUGAGAGGCCUGGUGGGCUGCAUCUCCCACCUCUCUCUCUCCCCCAGCUUCCAUAUCGCCUUGAUCGAUGAGGCCUCGGACGGCAAGAACAUUGAAACAUGCCUCGAGUGACCUUACGGACCCACCAGAGACCCCCUCUCAUGAGCCUCCUCCUCCUCUUCCUCCUCCUCUUCCUUCAACUACCUGGCUGAACUGGUCUUUUUUUCUUUUCUGAACUCGUAAUGGUGUGUGGCCCGUAGUGAUUGAGUUUGGUUAAGUAUGCAUCUUGCAGGACCCUCCCUACACCCAUCAAUAUAAGGUAGGGUUCUGACCACAUGCUGGAUCCAUUUGAUCCAUAAUAUAGACCCUUUCAAGAGAGUUCCAUUAUCAGCAUCAUAGUUGGCCCCACAAGGCUUCCGUUUUAACAUUCCAUGUUAUCUUAAUGCAGAGGAAGUAGAUUGGGAAACAAAUAGAACGUUAAAGCAUUAUUUUUCUUUUUAUUGUUGAAAGGGUCUAUAUUGUUUAUUUUUUGCUCCUUACAGACAACCACUGCCAGCCAUAGCCAGUACUACCGUACCCUUCAUAUGUUAUUUCAGUCGCUCUUAAAUGUCCCCUCCACUAUGCACCUGCCAAUUCAGUAAUCAAUUCAGUAAUCCCCACUUCCCAAACCAUACCAACAUUGACAGAGUCUGUCAGCCAACUCAAGGACAUGUGUCAUCCGUUAUAAAUGAGACUUCCACCUUUGGACCAGCAGGACGAACACAAACAGCAAGAUGCUGCAUUUCCCAAAGGACUUUUUUUAUUUAUUGCACUUCCGUAUGCCUUAGAAUGACCUUGAAAGUUGUUAGUUUUUCAUUUUGUAAAGAUAUUCUGCCAAAUGGACUGCUGGUGCUGAGGUGGCCUCCCAACACAAAGAAGAGGAGGAGGCGGAGGAGGAGGCGGAAGAGGAGGAGGAGGAGGGGGAGGAUGAGGAGGAGGAGG